Molecule: ribosomal RNA, 544 nt
Filed under: uncultured bacterium
Lineage: Bacteria
Description: bacterial SSU rRNA
Rfam family: Bacterial small subunit ribosomal RNA
Source: RNAcentral
AAUAGAUACCCGGGUAGUCCACGCCGUAAACGAUGAGUGCUAAGUGUUAGGGGGUUUCCGCCCCUUAGUGCUGCAGCUAACGCAUUAAGCACUCCGCCUGGGGGAGUACGGUCGCAAGACUGAAACUCAAAGGAAUUGACGGGGGCCCGCACAAGCGGUGGAGCAUGUGGUUUAAUUCGAAGCAACGCGAAGAACCUUACCAGGUCUUGACAUCCCAUUGACCGCUAUGGAGACAUGGCUUUCCCUUCGGGGACAGUGGUGACAGGUGGUGCAUGGUUGUCGUCAGCUCGUGUCGUGAGAUGUUGGGUUAAGUCCCGCAACGAGCGCAACCCUUGUUCUUAGUUGCCAUCAUUUAGUUGGGCACUCUAAGGAGACUGCCGGUGACAAACCGGAGGAAGGUGGGGAUGACGUCAAAUCAUCAUGCCCCUUAUGACCUGGGCUACACACGUGCUACAAUGGACGGUACAAACGGUUGCCAACCCGCGAGGGGGAGCUAAUCCGAUAAACCGUUCUCAGUUCGGAUUGUAGGCUGCAACUCGCCUAC